This 75-nucleotide transfer RNA is filed under the name Omnitrophica WOR_2 bacterium GWB2_45_9. RNAcentral's name for it is "tRNA-Glu". It matches the Rfam family "tRNA". From Rfam's summary of the family: Transfer RNA (tRNA) molecules are approximately 80 nucleotides in length. Their secondary structure includes four short double-helical elements and three loops (D, anti-codon, and T loops). Further hydrogen bonds mediate the characteristic L-shaped molecular structure. tRNAs have two regions of fundamental functional importance: the anti-codon, which is responsible for specific mRNA codon recognition, and the 3' end, to which the tRNAs corresponding amino acid is attached (by aminoacyl-tRNA synthetases). tRNAs cope with the degeneracy of the genetic code in two manners: having more than one tRNA (with a specific anti-codon) for a particular amino acid; and 'wobble' base-pairing, i.e. permitting non-standard base-pairing at the 3rd anti-codon position. The record is from RNAcentral. Lineage: Bacteria; Pseudomonadati; Candidatus Omnitrophota. RNAcentral also lists the same sequence under 2 other names.
GGCCCCAUCGUCUAGCCCGGUCCAGGACAUCACCCUCUCACGGUGGAGACACGGGUUCAAAUCCCGUUGGGGCUA